RNAcentral lists this unclassified non-coding RNA (491 nucleotides) under Sinningia incarnata. Its description in RNAcentral is "partial contains external transcribed spacer and 18S ribosomal RNA". Lineage: Eukaryota; Viridiplantae; Streptophyta; Magnoliopsida; Lamiales; Gesneriaceae. The record is from RNAcentral.
GAGUGGUGCUCGAUGCGUAUGGUUUUGUUGGAUCCUGCUAGGGCAGCAACGGCAUAACUUGCGUGUCUUUUCAGUACAGUGGCAUAGGCGCGGUGAGCCUUGCCUCUUGGAUGUUUGUUUCCUGUGCUGUAUAACCAGUUAUAAGGACAUUCAAUUUGUUCAAUUUUAUAUAUUCGCUAUGUGAUGCACCUUAUCGGAUUGUGGCAUGUAGUGAAACUGUGAAAGCAUUGAUUGUGUUCCACAUUCUUUGCAUGCGUGCAUGCUUGUGUUGCUGGACCAUGAUCCUUGCUCGAUCUCUUGGUUGCGGAAUACCUAGUGUGCACGAGACACUAGUCUCUAUUUGUCCCUURUUGAGCGUUUAACGCAGCAUGCGAACGACAAUUGUUUCCGUCUUGACUAGGUUCUAUGGCUUGGCUCAUACGGUUGCAAUGUCGAUGAGGAAUGCUACCUGGGGAUCCUGCCAGUAGUCAUAUGCUUGUCUCAAAGAUUAA